AUGAAGCCCACUUUCUGUGCCAUGGCUGAAUACACAGACAUCCCUGAAAACGUCAAACUGUCUGCACUUGUCAGCAAACAAGCAUUUUCCCUCAGCACCGUCUGUGUUAGGGGGACUGUGCUUGGUAAAGGUCUUCGUGGGAUGCGGGCGGCUGAAGACCGUGAAGGAGAAGGCACCAGGCCGUUAACGUUUCCAAGGGGCGUCGAGGAAGUGCAACAUCUCUUUGUGAGAAACCACACUGUACUUACCCAGAUUUUGGGGUUUUCUUUUCCGGGGCUGUUAUGCUUUUUAUCUAGAUCGCCCCCCGAAGCCCCCAGCUCGCGGAGGGUUCAUCCACUCAUGGCUGUGAGGAAAAUGUGGUGUGAGGAGGGGCGUGGUCAGGCAGGGUCUUCCCUUCCCUCCUCCCGUGACCCCUCUCUGCUUCCCGAACCUUCCUGUGAGCCACGUGCCUCCUCCGCGCUCCUCCGCUGCUGUCAAUUCGAAUCACAACCAGCGUCGCCAUCUGCCUUACACCACCAAGUCCUCUCUGUCAGACCCCACAAGCACCUCCAGAAGUGACCAGGCAGACUGUACCGUGGCUCCAGCAGCACAGCAGUUGCUCACUGGGCUGGGAAGUGCUACUGUGAAAGGCACAGUAGAGCCAUCAAGGCCUCGGGUACAGCUCUCCCAGACCCCCAGUGUGAUCACCUUGCAGCAGAGGGCUGUCCCUGUGAGUGCAGAAUCUGAAACAGACCGCA
RNAcentral lists this long non-coding RNA (737 nucleotides) under Fukomys damarensis (Damara mole-rat). Its description in RNAcentral is "lncRNA (ENSFDAG00000024856.1)". The record is from RNAcentral. Lineage: Eukaryota; Metazoa; Chordata; Mammalia; Rodentia; Bathyergidae.